Long non-coding RNA from Hibiscus syriacus, 532 nucleotides. RefSeq lists it as uncharacterized. The transcript is spliced from 3 exons. Lineage: Eukaryota; Viridiplantae; Streptophyta; Magnoliopsida; Malvales; Malvaceae. The record is from RefSeq and is a predicted model, not a curated record.
AAGGUUGGAGGAUACAAAUUGUCUGCCUUGGAAAUUGAAUCGGUGCUUUUACAGGUAAACUCGUCCUCUCUAUAUUCCUAUUCCGAGUCAUGAAACCCCUUUCUUUUUGUUUUAAAUAUCUGUUCUUUGAUUUCCUUUCAAGGGAAACCGAAACAAAAGAUCACCCUUGACAGAGGGGUAAAUGAUUAAACGAUCAUCAGCAGGCUAAAUUUAUUUUUUGUGCAUCACCCUGAUAUAGCAGAAUGCUGUGUGUUUCUCUUACUGGACAAGUAUUAUGGAGAAGCUGUAUCCGCAAUAGUGGUGCUGGAGUCGGAACGAAAAAGGGAACUAGAUGAGUUGAAUUCUGCUUUCAGUUUGGAAGAUCUUUGCAACUGGGCUAAAGACAAACUUGCUCCAUACAAGCUUCCAACACGAUUAAUGUUGUGGGAUUCUCUUCCUCGUAAUGCGAUGGGAAAGGUGAAUAAGAAGGAGCUGAAGAGACGGUUGGUUGAUGAAAAGUGAGCAAUCUUUAUUGUGAACACAAUAAUUACAG